RNAcentral lists this ribosomal RNA (274 nucleotides) under uncultured bacterium. Its description in RNAcentral is "partial 16S ribosomal RNA". It matches the Rfam family "Bacterial small subunit ribosomal RNA", at positions 523 to 796 of the family's 1533-position model. The record is from RNAcentral.
AUACAGAGGGUGCAAGCGUUAAUCGGAAUCACUGGGCGUAAAGCGUGCGUAGGUGGUCUGUUAAGUCAGGUGUGAAAGCCCUGGGCUCAACCUAGGAAUUGCAUUUGAUACUGGCAGACUAGAGUGUGGUAGAGGGUAGUGGAAUUCCCGGUGUAGCGGUGAAAUGCGUAGAUAUCGGGAGGAACAUCAGUGGCGAAGGCGGCUACCUGGACCAACACUGACACUGAGGUACGAAAGCGUGGGGAGCAAACAGGAUUAGAUACCCCAGUAGUCC